This 510-nucleotide unclassified non-coding RNA is filed under the name Hevea brasiliensis (rubber tree). Lineage: Eukaryota; Viridiplantae; Streptophyta; Magnoliopsida; Malpighiales; Euphorbiaceae. The record is from RNAcentral.
GUUUGCGAGCUAUUGGAUAGGAGCGGGGUUUUACCCUUGCGCACCCAAAGGGUAGCGACUGCGGGUUUCCCUGCUUUGGCUGACCAUUUUUCCCCCCAAUAGUCGUCACAAUGAUGUGACCUGUUUCAGUUCCAUUCCCAUCCACAACAGCGGCUUCCAUUUCCUUUCCUUCUUUGUCAUCGUUGAUCUUCAUUGCAUUUAUUUCUUUAGGUAGGUUGUCAAUAAGCACAACAUCAGUAAUAGGUUUGCCAGCUGCUGAAGACAUAAUACUGCCCGAAGCCAUGUCACUGAAUAACAAAUAAACUUCCUUAUAGUACUGAUAAAUGGUUAUGACUCAAGUGACAGAUUGUCUGCUUCUCAAAACCUGCAGCGGUGAAGUGAAUUGCUCGCAUUGGCGAUGGAAAAUUGUGAGUGAAACAGCAAAACCCUAAGCGCGGAAGAAAUAAAGUGGAAGUGAAAAUGGCGUAUGGCCAAGUUUUCAGGUUCUUGGCUAUAGACUUCUGCAAUGCU